ACAUGCGCAAAUACUAUGUCGUUUCCUCUCUUUAUGGGAGGGUGGUGAUAUAGUAGUGUUUAUUAGAUACAGAACCAACACAUCAUUAUUAUCAUUCUAUGAUGAUAGUGAUGUAAAAUAAGGUGAUUCAUAGUAACCGAACGGAUCGCAUUAUAAUUAUCAUUAUUUGAUGAUUGGCGAUAGAUCAUUCAAGUUUCUGACCUAUCAGCUUUCGACGGUAGUGUAUUGGACUACCGUGGCAGUGACGGGUAACGGGGAAUUAGGGUUCGAUUCCGGAGAGGGAGCCUGAGAAACGGCUACCACAUCUAAGGAAGGCAGCAGGCGCGCAAAUUACCCAAUCCUGACUCAGGGAGGUAGUGACAAGAAAUAACAACACUGGAAAUUUGAUUUCUAGUGAUUGGAAUGAUGGGAAUCCAAACCCCUUUCAGAGUAACAAUUGGAGGGCAAGUCUGGUGCCAGCAGCCGCGGUAAUUCCAGCUCCAAUAGCGUAUAUUAAAGUUGUUGCAGUUAAAAAGCUCGUAGUUGGAUGUCUGUUGGAAGCAAUCAUCAGUCCGCCCUAUUUGAUUAGGGUGUGAAUAUGAUGAAUUCCGGCAUAAUUGUCUCCCUAUUAUCAAUAUAUAAGAUGAUCAUUAUUAGAUUCAUUUCUAAUAAUGCGUCUACUAUAUUAUUGGUAGUAUGGGAGAAAUGUUACUUUGAGAAAAUUAGAGUGUUUGAAGCAGGCUUUUGUUGCCUUGAAUACUGCAGCAUGGAAUAACAAUAUAGGAUUUCGGUUCUAUUUUGUUGGUUUUUUUUAGGACUGAAAUAAUGAUUAAUAGGGACAGUUGGGGGCAUUCGUAUUUAACUGUCAGAGGUGAAAUUCUUAGAUUUGUUA
Molecule: ribosomal RNA, 871 nt
Filed under: Sarcocystis suihominis
Lineage: Eukaryota; Apicomplexa; Conoidasida; Eucoccidiorida; Sarcocystidae
Description: SSU rRNA
Rfam family: Eukaryotic small subunit ribosomal RNA
Source: RNAcentral